UGCAUCACCGCGAAAAAUUUUACGCUAUUCUAUGCAAAGCAAUGAAAAUGAGAAAGGUAAAACCUGCUCCGACGUUUUAGAGGAGCUCAAAAAAACGACGGAAACUCUAAAAUUGGGGAAUGCAG
Long non-coding RNA from Drosophila pseudoobscura, 125 nucleotides. RefSeq lists it as uncharacterized. NCBI's taxonomy places the organism in Eukaryota, Metazoa, Arthropoda, Insecta, Diptera, Drosophilidae. The transcript has 3 exons. The record is from RefSeq and is a predicted model, not a curated record.